Molecule: long non-coding RNA, 330 nt
Filed under: Malus domestica (apple)
Lineage: Eukaryota; Viridiplantae; Streptophyta; Magnoliopsida; Rosales; Rosaceae
Description: long non-coding RNA (MDOM_LNC002744)
Source: RNAcentral
UGAUGCUUCCAAUCAUGCCAAGGAAGCCUCGCAUCUCACCCUUCCACAGAAGCCUUCGCAUGUCCCUUGGCAUGGGUUUCUGGAGGUACUCAUUAGUGUAAAGGGCUUCAAUUGCAGAGCAAAACCGCAUUAGGGACUCCAGAAUAGUUGUUUUUCCCAUCCUCCCAAUCUUAUCCACUUGAUCUACAAAUGCUCCAUAUGCAAGCAUUUGCAAGGCAGAUGUAAUUUUUUGCUCAGGAAGAUGACCUAGAACAUGAAAAUCAUCAUCUUUUUGCACAAAGUAUGGAUCAUGGUUGCAAAUAGCACUCAUGAUUUUGUUGAACAAACUUC